This 299-nucleotide long non-coding RNA is filed under the name Citrus x clementina. RNAcentral's name for it is "Citrus clementina (C. clementina) long non-coding RNA (CCLE_LNC005724)". The record is from RNAcentral. Lineage: Eukaryota; Viridiplantae; Streptophyta; Magnoliopsida; Sapindales; Rutaceae.
GUUUUCCUUUAAUUUUUUAGUUUAAAAUUUCAACAAAUUUGAGUUGAAUUUAAAUUAGAAUCUUUAUUUUGUUUGGAUUCUGAAAAUUAAACACACAAGUUAUCAAUGUUGCGUGCAACACACCGCUAAGUUUGCAUGCAAGGAGUUGAAUCAUGGGCAGGUUAGUGUUAACUGUGUUAAUGCCAUUAUUGAUGUUGGUAUUUAAAUUGAGAAACGAACUCACUGCAUUAAUAUGCCACGAAAGAUACUUGGUAUAGAGAAAGAUAAAAGAAAAAAAGAAGAAAAGGAAAAAAAAAAGU